This 673-nucleotide small RNA is filed under the name Pongo abelii (Sumatran orangutan). RNAcentral's name for it is "processed transcript". The record is from RNAcentral. Lineage: Eukaryota; Metazoa; Chordata; Mammalia; Primates; Hominidae.
GGGCCCCCAGGAGGCAGCCCUUCAGGGGCUGCCCGGGCCAGGAUGAGCUGUGUGACCUUGGCGAGGUCAUUUUUCUCCUUGAGCCACAGUGGCCCCAUCCGUCAAGUGGGGAUGAAAGGACCUGCUCAGGCUGUCUUGCAGAGGAGCAUGUGGAUGUGAACAUCUUUGAAAGCGCCCCGGGAUGCCGUCUGGAGCCCGGAUGCCCCACCAGGGGGCGCCCAUGGGCCCCCCGGGCUCCCCGUACAUGGGCAGCCCCGCCGUGCGACCCGGCCUGGCCCCCGCGGGCAUGGAGCCCGCCCGCAAGCGAGCAGCGCCCCCGCCCGGGCAGAGCCAGACACAGAGCCAGGGCCAGCCGGUGCCCACCGCCCCCGCGCGGAGCCGCAGUGCCAAGAGGAGGAAGAUGGCUGACAAAAUCCUCCCUCAAAGGAUUCGGGAGCUGGUCCCCGAGUCCCAGGCUUACAUGGACCUCUUGGCGUUUGAGAGGAAACUGGAUCAAACCAUCAUGCGGAAGCGGGUGGACAUCCAGGAGGCUUUGAAGAGGCCCAUGAAGCAAAAGCGGAAGCUGCGACUCUAUAUCUCCAACACUUUUAACCCUGCGAAGCCUGAUGCUGAGGAUUCCGAUGGCAGCAUUGCUUCCUGGGAGCUACGGGUGGAGGGGAAGCUCCUGGAUGAU